CGUUAGCUACGGGGCGCAGCAGUAGGGAAUUUUCGUCAAUGGGCGCAAGCCUGAACGAGCAAUGCCGCGUGAACGAGGAAGGUCUUCGGAUCGUAAAGUUCUGUUGAAGGGGAAAAAGGGCGGAGAGAGGAAAUGGUCUCCGAUUGAUAUUACCCUUCGAGGAAGUCACGGCUAACUACGUGCCAGCAGCAGCGGUAAUACGUAGGUGGCGAGCGUUAUCCGGAAUGAUUGGGCGUAAAGGGUGCGUA
Molecule: ribosomal RNA, 248 nt
Filed under: uncultured bacterium
Lineage: Bacteria
Description: partial 16S ribosomal RNA
Rfam family: Bacterial small subunit ribosomal RNA
Source: RNAcentral